Molecule: ribosomal RNA, 301 nt
Filed under: uncultured bacterium
Lineage: Bacteria
Description: partial 16S ribosomal RNA
Rfam family: Bacterial small subunit ribosomal RNA
Source: RNAcentral
CAGUCGCCGCGGGAAUACGGAGGGUGCGAGCGUUAAUCGGAAUUACUGGGCGUAAAGCGUACGCAGGCGGUUUGUUAAGUCAGAUGUGAAAUCCCCGAGCUUAACUCGGGAACUGCAUUUGAAACUGGCAGGCUAGAGUCUCGUAGAGGGGGGUAGAAUUCCAGGUGUAGCGGUGAAAUGCGUAGAGAUCUGGAGGAAUACCGGUGGCGAAGGCGGCCCCCUGGACGAAGACUGACGCUCAGGUACGAAAGCGUGGGGAGCAAACAGGAUUAGAUACCCCAGUAGUCCCUGUCUCUUAUAC